UGAUCCCUGCUUGGUGCGUGACGGGUUCUUUUAAACCCACAGCGUUAUUUUGGGAUUCCGAGCUUCCGUCUGGGAUGGCAGGCCUCCCGGCUUUUGGCCGGACGUUGGAAGCCGCGAAAAGGCGGAGAGGUUGCCCACCUGCUACUAUGUGCAGGUUAUAACGGGGCUCGCACGGCCCGGCGGGGCGCUU
RNAcentral lists this non-coding RNA (190 nucleotides) under Oscillospiraceae bacterium. Its description in RNAcentral is "6S RNA". It matches the Rfam family "6S / SsrS RNA". Rfam says of the family: E. coli 6S RNA was the first non coding RNA to be sequenced, but its function was unknown until recently. It consists of 184 nucleotides that fold into an extended hairpin structure with a large single-stranded internal bulge. The record is from RNAcentral. Lineage: Bacteria; Bacillati; Bacillota; Clostridia; Eubacteriales; Oscillospiraceae.